GGUGAGUAAUGUCUGGGAAACUGCCUGAUGGAGGGGGAUAACUACUGGAAACGGUAGCUAAUACCGCAUAACGUCGCAAGACCAAAGAGGGGGACCUUCGGGCCUCUUGCCAUCGGAUGUGCCCAGAUGGGAUUAGCUAGUAGGUGGGGUAACGGCUCACCUAGGCGACGAUCCCUAGCUGGUCUGAGAGGAUGACCAGCCACACUGGAACUGAGACACGGUCCAGACUCCUACGGGAGGCAGCAGUGGGGAAUAUUGCACAAUGGGCGCAAGCCUGAUGCAGCCAUGCCGCGUGUAUGA
RNAcentral lists this ribosomal RNA (300 nucleotides) under Escherichia coli. RNAcentral's name for it is "bacterial SSU rRNA". It matches the Rfam family "Bacterial small subunit ribosomal RNA", at positions 105 to 408 of the family's 1533-position model. The record is from RNAcentral. Lineage: Bacteria; Pseudomonadati; Pseudomonadota; Gammaproteobacteria; Enterobacterales; Enterobacteriaceae.